GACGAACGCUGGCGGCGUGCCUAAUACAUGCAAGUCGAGCGGACCGAACAGGAGCUUGCUCUUGUUCGGUUAGCGGCGGACGGGUGAGUAACACGUGGGUAACCUGCCCGUAAGACCGGGAUAACUCCGGGAAACCGGAGCUAAUACCGGAUAACACCGAAGACCGCAUGGUCUUUGGUUGAAAGGCGGCUUCGGCUGCCACUUACGGAUGGGCCCGCGGCGCAUUAGCUAGUUGGUGAGGUAACGGCUCACCAAGGCGACGAUGCGUAGCCGGCCUGAGAGGGUGACCGGCCACACUGGGACUGAGACACGGCCCAGGCUCCUACGGGAGGCAGCAGUAGGGAAUCUUCCGCAAUGGACGAAAGUCUGACGGAGCGACGCCGCGUGAGCGAAGAGGGUCUUCGGAUCGUAAAGCUCUGUUGUUAGGGAAGAAGAAGCGUCGUUCGAACAGGGCGGCGCGGUGACGGUACCUAACGAGAAAGCCCCGGCUAACUACGUG
Molecule: ribosomal RNA, 499 nt
Filed under: uncultured bacterium
Lineage: Bacteria
Description: partial 16S ribosomal RNA
Rfam family: Bacterial small subunit ribosomal RNA
Source: RNAcentral